CGGCUGAACCAGCGAUUUGAAGGAAUGAAUAUCAACAUUUUAUUAUUUUUUGAAUAAAGUUCUGGCUAGGAUAAUGAUAAUGACAAUUUCCUAUCUAAAUGUCUUGACUAAGUCACGUGCCAGCAGUCGCGGUAAUACGUGAGAGACGAGCGUUAUUCAUCUUUAAUUGGUUUAAAGGGUACCUAGACGGUAAUUCUUGCCUUAGAAUGGGAACAGAAUUACUAGAGUUUUAUGUGAAAAGCUUAGAAUUGGUGGUGUAGAGAUAAUAUACAAAAAUACCAUUAGGACUGGUAAAGGCGAAGGCAAACUUUUAUGUAAAAACUGACGUUGAGGGACGAAGGCUGGGAUAGCAAACAGGAUUAGAUACCCUAGUAGCCCCAGCAGAAAAUGAUGAAUGCCAUAGGUUGUAUUAAAUGGCCUAUAAAUGAAAGUGUAAGCAUUCCACCUCAAGAGUAAUGUGGCAACACAGAAACUGAAAUCAUUAGACCGCCCCCGAGACCAGUAGUGAAGUAUGUUAUUUAAUUCGAUGGUCCACGAAAAAUCUUACCACAAUUUGAAUAUUUAGUGACAAGAAAUUAUUAUUAAUUUGUUAGAAAAAGUAAUAUAACUUCUCUUUACAAGCGUUGCACGGCUGUCUACAGUUAAUACCGCGAGGGGUUGGUUGGCUCCAAGAAUUGACGUACACCCUAACUUUAUUUAAUACUACCAAUAAAUUAAUUUUGAUUAUAAUAUUAUAAAGUAGUUCACCGACAUAAUGGAUGUGAUAAUAGGGAUAAAGACAAGUCAUCAUGACCUUAAUAUUGUGGGC
RNAcentral lists this ribosomal RNA (808 nucleotides) under Verpa conica. RNAcentral's name for it is "SSU rRNA". It matches the Rfam family "Bacterial small subunit ribosomal RNA", at positions 380 to 1214 of the family's 1533-position model. The record is from RNAcentral. Lineage: Eukaryota; Fungi; Ascomycota; Pezizomycetes; Pezizales; Morchellaceae.